Molecule: ribosomal RNA, 498 nt
Filed under: uncultured bacterium
Lineage: Bacteria
Description: partial 16S ribosomal RNA
Rfam family: Bacterial small subunit ribosomal RNA
Source: RNAcentral
GACGAACGCUGGCGGCGUGCCUAAUACAUGCAAGUCGAACGAGAGCGACCGGUGCUUGCACUGGUCAAUCUAGUGGCGAACGGGUGAGUAACACGUGGGUAACCUGCUCAUCAGAGGGGGAUAACAUCCGGAAACGGAUGCUAAAACCGCAUAGGUCUUCGAGCCGCAUGGCUUGAAGAGGAAAAGAGGCGCAAGCUUCUGCUGAUGGAUGGACCCGCGGUGCAUUAGCUAGUUGGUGAGGUAACGGCUCACCAAGGCCGUGAUGCAUAGCCGACCUGAGAGGGUGAUCGGCCACAUUGGGACUGAGACACGGCCCAAACUCCUACGGGAGGCAGCAGUAGGGAAUCUUCCGCAAUGGACGCAAGUCUGACGGAGCAACGCCGCGUGAGUGAGGAAGGUUUUCGGAUCGUAAAACUCUGUUGUUAGAGAAGAACAAGUGCUAGAGUAACUGUUAGCGCCUUGACGGUAUCUAACCAGAAAGCCACGGCUAACUACGUG